AUGAAUGCCUGCGCUCUGAACUCGAUGGAGGUGAAGGCGAAGCCGGCGAGGGGCGGGAAGAGGAGCAGAGCGAGCGGCGGCACCACGGUGGUGCUGCUGGAGAAAAAGGAGUCGGAGAAGGAGAGGAGGAAGCGCAUGAAAGCCCUCUGUGAGAAGCUCGCAUCCCUUAUCCCAAGAGAACACUGCUGCUCCAGCACUGAUACAAUGACCCAACUAGGCAGCCUGGAUGUUGGGGCGUCAUACAUCAAGAAGCUGAAGGAGAGGGUCGAUGAGCUACAACAUAGGAGGAGCUCUGUGCAGGCCUUGGAUACCUUAAAAGGAGAUACUAGCAUCCCAACGCCCACUACCACGACUACCACAAGCAGUGGUGCAGGGUCGCCAGAGGAAGAGAAAGCUUGGGAGGCAUCGGAACCGGUGUUGCAGGUGCGGCAACACGAUGAUUCAAGCAUGGAGGUGAGACUGAUAUGCUGCAUGGAGAGGCCGAUCAAGCUCCAUGAGGUAAUCACCAUCCAUGAGGAAGAAGGUGCUGAGAUCAUCAACGCCAAUCACUCGGUUGCUGGCCACAAAAUGUUCUAUACUAUACACUCUCGGGCCUUCAGCUCGAGAAUUGGCAUAGAUGUUUUAAGGGUAUCUGAACGACUGGGAGCACUGCUCCGACUUUCUUCGCACGAAAAUCAGGCACCGUCGUGCAUGCGCAGCAAUCAGGUCCUCAGGUACACUGAUGGGACCAAUGCGACUCCCAAGGAGCUCGUCAGCAACAACGAUGUAGGUGUAACUAAUAAGGUGCCAAAUCCCGAGUGUGAGUCUUGGGCUAAGCAAGACCAAGUGAUGUGGAGUUCCCUGCUUACGUCAAUAUCAACAGACUUGCUCGAGUAG
Molecule: ribosomal RNA, 876 nt
Filed under: Triticum aestivum (bread wheat)
Lineage: Eukaryota; Viridiplantae; Streptophyta; Magnoliopsida; Poales; Poaceae
Description: partial small subunit ribosomal RNA
Source: RNAcentral